This 443-nucleotide ribosomal RNA is filed under the name uncultured bacterium. RNAcentral describes it as "partial 16S ribosomal RNA". It matches the Rfam family "Bacterial small subunit ribosomal RNA", at positions 338 to 795 of the family's 1533-position model. The record is from RNAcentral.
CCUACGGGAGGCAGCAGUGAGGAAUAUUGGUCAAUGGGCGCAAGCCUGACCCAGCAACGCCGCGUGAAGGAAGAAGGCUUUCGGGUUGUAAACUUCUUUUCUCAGGGACGAAGCAAGUGACGGUACCUGAGGACUAAGCCACGGCUAACUACGUGCCAGCAGCCGCGGUAAUACGUAGGUGGCAAGCGUUAUCCGGAUUUACUGGGUGUAAAGGGCGUGUAGGCGGGGACGCAAGUCAGAUGUGAAAACCACGGGCUCAACCUGUGGCCUGCAUUUGAAACUGUGUUUCUUGAGUACUGGAGAGGCAGACGGAAUUCCUAGUGUAGCGGUGAAAUGCGUAGAUAUUGCGCAGAACCCCGAUUGCGAAGGCAGCGUGCCGUGCCGCCACUGACGCUGAGGCACGAAAGCGCGGGGAUCGAACAGGAUUAGAUACCCUUGUAGUC